Molecule: ribosomal RNA, 468 nt
Filed under: uncultured bacterium
Lineage: Bacteria
Description: partial 16S ribosomal RNA
Rfam family: Bacterial small subunit ribosomal RNA
Source: RNAcentral
GACGAACGCUGGCGGCGUGCUUAACACAUGCAAGUCGAACGGAAAGGCCCUACUUUUGUGGGGUACUCGAGUGGCGAACGGGUGAGUAACACGUGGGUAACCUGCCCUUGACUUUGGGAUAACUUCAGGAAACUGGGUCUAAUACCGGAUAGGAGCUCCUGCUGCGUGUGGGGGGGUAGAGAGUUUGGGCGGUUGGGGAUGGUCUCGCGGCUUAUCAGCUUGUUGGUGGGGUAGUGGCUUACCAAGGCGUUGACGGGUAGCCGGCCUGAGAGGGUGACCGGCCACAUUGGGACUGAGAUACGGCCCAGACUCCUACGGGAGGCAGCAGUGGGGAAUAUUGCACAAUGGGCGGAAGCCUGAUGCAGCAACGCCGCGUGCGGGAUGACGGCCUUCGGGUUGUAAACCGCUUUCGCCUGGGACGAAGCGUGAGUGACGGUAACGGGUAAAGAAGCACCGGCUAACUACGUG